RNAcentral lists this ribosomal RNA (465 nucleotides) under Vreelandella stevensii. RNAcentral's name for it is "partial 16S ribosomal RNA". It matches the Rfam family "Bacterial small subunit ribosomal RNA", at positions 338 to 795 of the family's 1533-position model. The record is from RNAcentral. Lineage: Bacteria; Pseudomonadati; Pseudomonadota; Gammaproteobacteria; Oceanospirillales; Halomonadaceae.
CCUACGGGCGGCAGCAGUGGGGAAUAUUGGACAAUGGGGGGAACCCUGAUCCAGCCAUGCCGCGUGUGUGAAGAAGGCCCUCGGGUUGUAAAGCACUUUCAGUGAGGAAGAACGCCUGGUGGUUAAUACCCAUCAGGAAAGACAUCACUCACAGAAGAAGCACCGGCUAACUCCGUGCCAGCAGCCGCGGUAAUACGGAGGGUGCGAGCGUUAAUCGGAAUUACUGGGCGUAAAGCGCGCGUAGGUGGCUUGAUAAGCCGGUUGUGAAAGUCCCGGGCUCAACCUGGGAACGGCAUCCGGAACUGUCAAGCUAGAGUGCAGGAGAGGAAGGUAGAAUUCCCGGUGUAGCGGUGAAAUGCGUAGAGAUCGGGAGGAAUACCAGUGGCGAAGGCGGCCUUCUGGACUGGCACUGACACUGAGGUGCGAAAGCGUGGGUAGCAAACAGGAUUAGAUACCCUGGUAGUC